This 74-nucleotide transfer RNA is filed under the name bacterium. RNAcentral's name for it is "tRNA-Glu". It matches the Rfam family "tRNA". Rfam says of the family: Transfer RNA (tRNA) molecules are approximately 80 nucleotides in length. Their secondary structure includes four short double-helical elements and three loops (D, anti-codon, and T loops). The record is from RNAcentral.
GCCGCCGUGGUGUAGCCCGGCUAUCAUGCGGGACUCUCAAUCCCGUGACCCGGGUUCAAAUCCCGGCGGCGGCA